GGAAACCAAUUCUUCUUUGUCUUAUGGUGCUUCUGCUGCUAGGAAAUUCCACUUAUGCUGGUACGAAAUGGAUUUUCAUGUACCUAUUUUCCUGCCGAUUAGAGGAUAGUAAUAUUGGUAGUUGACAUGCACGAGUUUCUUUGUUCCUCAAUUUGAACUUCUUUCAAUGAUUUAUCUUCUUGCCUACAGAAAAUUGCAAAACGCAAAUUGCUUAUGGGGCCACUCUGUGCGCAUUUUAUACUUGCCUGAGUACAUGCACAUCUAUAUAUGGGAAACUCGUCAAGGAAGCAGAUUGCAAGCCCGUCAGACCUUAUUAUACUAAUUGUUCUUGCCUCCUCUGCGUCUAGCAUUACUCUUUGCCAUGAUGUAAAACAAUGGGCAAUGAUGUGAGCCAGUAAUAAAA
Molecule: long non-coding RNA, 403 nt
Filed under: Triticum aestivum (bread wheat)
Lineage: Eukaryota; Viridiplantae; Streptophyta; Magnoliopsida; Poales; Poaceae
Description: long non-coding RNA (TAES_LNC026561)
Source: RNAcentral